This 2879-nucleotide ribosomal RNA is filed under the name Ligilactobacillus salivarius. RNAcentral's name for it is "bacterial SSU rRNA". The stretch from base 980 to 2556 matches the Rfam family "Bacterial small subunit ribosomal RNA". The record is from RNAcentral. Lineage: Bacteria; Bacillati; Bacillota; Bacilli; Lactobacillales; Lactobacillaceae.
CCGUAAGAAGUUGAGUGGCGGACGGGUGAGUAACACGUGGGUAACCUGCCUAAAAGAAGGGGAUAACACUUGGAAACAGGUGCUAAUACCGUAUAUCUMUAAGGAUCGCAUGAUCCUUAGAUGAAAGAUGGUUCUGCUAUCGCUUUUAGAUGGACCCGCGGCGUAUUAACUAGUUGGUGGGGUAACGGCCUACCAAGGUGAUGAUACGUAGCCGAACUGAGAGGUUGAUCGGCCACAUUGGGACUGAGACACGGCCCAAACUCCUACGGGAGGCAGCAGUAGGGAAUCUUCCACAAUGGACGCAAGUCUGAUGGAGCAACGCCGCGUGAGUGAAGAAGGUCUUCGGAUCGUAAAACUCUGUUGUUAGAGAAGAACACGAGUGAGAGUAACUGUUCAUUCGAUGACGGUAUCUAACCAGCAAGUCACGGCUAACUACGUGCCAGCAGCCGCGGUAAUACGUAGGUGGCAAGCGUUGUCCGGAUUUAUUGGGCGUAAAGGGAACGCAGGCGGUCUUUUAAGUCUGAUGUGAAAGCCUUCGGCUUAACCGGAGUAGUGCAUUGGAAACUGGAAGACUUGAGUGCAGAAGAGGAGAGUGGAACUCCAUGUGUAGCGGUGAAAUGCGUAGAUAUAUGGAAGAACACCAGUGGCGAAAGCGGCUCUCUGGUCUGUAACUGACGCUGAGGUUCGAAAGCGUGGGUAGCAAACAGGAUUAGAUACCCUGGUAGUCCACGCCGUAAACGAUGAAUGCUAGGUGUUGGAGGGUUUCCGCCCUUCAGUGCCGCAGCUAACGCAAUAAGCAUUCCGCCUGGGGAGUACGACCGCAAGGUUGAAACUCAAAGGAAUUGACGGGGGCCCGCACAAGCGGUGGAGCAUGUGGUUUAAUUCGAAGCAACGCGAAGAACCUUACCAGGUCUUUGGCUCAGGACGAACGCUGGCGGCGUGCCUAAUACAUGCAAGUCGAACGCACUGACGUCGACCGAAGCUGCUUGCAGUGGACGUUGAUUGACGUGAGUGGCGGACGGGUGAGUAACACGUGGGUAACCUACCCUUAAGUGGGGGAUAACAUUUGGAAACAGAUGCUAAUACCGCAUAACCAUUCAGACCRCAUGGUCUGAAUGUAAAAGACGGCCUUUGGCUGUCACUUUUGGACGGACCCGCGGCGUAUUAGUUAGUUGGUAAGGUAACGGCUUACCAAGACAAUGAUACGUAGCCGACCUGAGAGGGUAAUCGGCCACAUUGGGACUGAGACACGGCCCAAACUCCUACGGGAGGCAGCAGUAGGGAAUCUUCCACAAUGGACGAAAGUCUGAUGGAGCAACGCCGCGUGAGUGAAGAAGGUUUUAGGAUCGUAAAACUCUGUUGUUGGAGAAGAACAGGGACUAGAGUAACUGUUAGUCCUUUGACGGUAUCCAACCAGAAAGCCACGGCUAACUACGUGCCAGCAGCCGCGGUAAUACGUAGGUGGCAAGCGUUGUCCGGAUUUAUUGGGCGUAAAGCGAGCGCAGGCGGUUUUUUAAGUCUGAUGUGAAAGCCUUCGGCUUAACCGAAGAAGUGCAUUAGAAACUGGRAAACUUGAGUGCAGAAGAGGACAGUGGAACUCCAUGUGUAGCGGUGAAAUGCGUAGAUAUAUGGAAGAACACCAGUGGCGAAGGCGGCUGUCUGGUCUGUAACUGACGCUGAGGCUCGAAAGUAUGGGGAGCGAACAGGAUUAGAUACCCUGGUAGUCCAUACCGUAAACGAUGAAUGCUAAGUGUUGGAGGGUUUCCGCCCUUCAGUGCUGCAGCUAACGCAUUAAGCAUUCCGCCUGGGGAGUACGACCGCAAGGUUGAAACUCAAAGGAAUUGACGGGGGCCCGCACAAGCGGUGGAGCAUGUGGUUUAAUUCGAAGCAACGCGAAGAACCUUACCAGGUCUUGACAUCCUUUGACCACUGUAGAGAUACAGCUUUCCCUUCGGGGACAAAGUGACAGGUGGUGCAUGGUUGUCGUCAGCUCGUGUCGUGAGAUGUUGGGUUAAGUCCCGCAACGAGCGCAACCCUUAUGACUAGUUGCCAGCAUUUAGUUGGGCACUCUAGUAAGACUGCCGGUGACAAACCGGAGGAAGGUGGGGAUGACGUCAAAUCAGCAUGCCCCUUAUGACCUGGGCUACACACGUGCUACAAUGGUCGGUACAACGAGUUGCGAACCCGCGAGGGUAAGCUAAUCUCUUAAAGCCGAUCUCAGUUCGGAUUGUAGGCUGCAACUCGCCUACAUGAAGCCGGAAUCGCUAGUAAUCGCGGAUCAGCACGCCGCGGUGAAUACGUUCCCGGGCCUUGUACACACCGCCCGUCACACCAUGAGAGUUUGUAACACCCGAAGUCGGUGGGGUAACCCUUUUAGGGAACUAGCCGCCUAAGGUGGGACAGAUGAUUGGGGUGAAGUCGUUGACAGGUGGUGCAUGGCUGUCGUCAGCUCGUGUCGUGAGAUGUUGGGUUAAGUCCCGCAACGAGCGCAACCCUUGUUGUCAGUUGCCAGCAUUAAGUUGGGCACUCUGGCGAGACUGCCGGUGACAAACCGGAGGAAGGUGGGGACGACGUCAAGUCAUCAUGCCCCUUAUGACCUGGGCUACACACGUGCUACAAUGGACGGUACAACGAGUCGCGAGACCGCGAGGUUUAGCUAAUCUCUUAAAGCCGUUCUCAGUUCGGAUUGUAGGCUGCAACUCGCCUACAUGAAGUCGGAAUCGCUAGUAAUCGCGAAUCAGCAUGUCGCGGUGAAUACGUUCCCGGGCCUUGUACACACCGCCCGUCACACCAUGAGAGUUUGUAACACCCAAAGCCGGUGGGGUAACCGCAAGGAGCCAGCCGUCUAAGGUGGGACAGAUGAUUGGGGUGAAGUCGUA